RNAcentral lists this ribosomal RNA (253 nucleotides) under uncultured bacterium. RNAcentral describes it as "partial 16S ribosomal RNA". It matches the Rfam family "Bacterial small subunit ribosomal RNA", at positions 524 to 776 of the family's 1533-position model. The record is from RNAcentral.
AACGUAGGUUCCGAGCGUUAUCCGGAUUUACUGGGCGUAAAGCGCGCGCAGGCGGUCCUUUAAGUCUGAUGUGAAAGCCCACGGCUCAACCGUGGAAGGUCAUUGGAAACUGGGGGACUUGAGUGCAGAAGAGGAAAGUGGAAUUCCAAGUGUAGCGGUGAAAUGCGUAGAUAUCGGGAGGAGCACCAGUGGCGAAGGCGACUACCUGGCCUGUUCUUGACGCUGAGGCGCGAAAGCUAGGGGAGCAAACGGG